This is a long non-coding RNA of Bubalus bubalis (water buffalo), 1503 nucleotides long. RefSeq lists it as uncharacterized. The record is from RefSeq and is a predicted model, not a curated record. NCBI's taxonomy places the organism in Eukaryota, Metazoa, Chordata, Mammalia, Artiodactyla, Bovidae. The transcript is spliced from 4 exons.
UUAACUGAAAGUGGUGGUGGAGGUAGGAGCAAGGAGGAGGUGGAGGAAGAGGCAUCAGCAUUUUGCUUUCUAAAGGUUCUUAGGAAGCUCUGGGCUUCCCCGGUGGAGAUUUCAGUGUGUGGCCAAAUUUAAGAUCAGUGGUUCUCGAACUUGAGUAUAUAUCAGAAUCACCUGGAGGGCUUGUUAAACAGAUUCUAGUUCUGAUCCUAAGUUUUCCUAGUAACUUGGUGUCAAGUGGAGCUUGAAUAUUUGCACUGCUAACACAAAAGUUCUCCAGUAAUACUGAUGCUACUGGUCUGGGGAGCAAACUGUGAGAACCAUCAUUUUAGAGUUUCAAGUGGGUUAAUAUUACCAGAAUGGAUGGGACAGAAAUCUUCAAAAUCUAAAGAAUAUCUGUUUUCCUUGAAGGCCUGGUGUACCACCCUCUCCUCACUGAAGCCUUCAUUCAUUUGCCACCUUUACCUUGUACCACAGCAAAGGGAUCAUGCAAUGAUUUAACAACAGCUGUUUUGAAGGAUCGAGUCACAGGUCGUGUCUACACAAAGGUGUAGCUACCAGUGGGCAGGAAUCGUGGAAAGUGUCUUAGCAAUCUGCCUCCCACAGUUGAAGAGAACAUUUCCAGCCUGAUAACUAUUGCUGUGAACUGGUCUCUACAAAGGAAGCCUCAGUUGCUCCUUCUGUAGGAGGAAGGUCUCACAUUCAUUCAUGAUGAAUGGUCUGAACAAGAGGAAACUGAUCCCAGCCCUGGCUACCUGGUACCAUCAUCCAGAUGGCACUGCAGACACAAGCCCUUCAUGCCAGAAACUAGGAUUCCAGUUAACUAGGAGUCUGGGGUUCUUGGUGGCAACAUUUUUUUUUUUUUGGACAAAAAUAUACAUAAAUGGUAAGUAUGUUAGCAGCCCUAAGAGUCUCUGCUCUGUAAUAACCAUGUUAAUGUUCUCAUAAAAAGAUAUGGGGCAAGAGCAAAGUGACAGAAAGGCUGAUUAGCAUUUUAUGACAGAAUUAAGCUGCAUGACAAAUAACUCACUGGUUUACAGCCCAACAAAUUCUACUUUCAAAUGCCGGAGGUGCUAGAAUGUUUUUGUUCAUUUAUUUGUUUUUUUAUAUUUAACCAUGAAGUUGUCCAGAGCUAUUUGAAUAAAGAUGGAAUACAAUUGUAAUAGUAGUAAAUAUAAUUAGUGCUAAUAUUUAUUAAGAAUCCUUUUGCUCCAAAAUGUCUAAAAAAUUAAUAUGGUCAACAACAGGAUUUUUCAGACUUCCAGAUUUAGAACUGGAAGAAAAAGUUCAGAUUACUACUCCUCGGUGUCAUAAUUUGUAAUGGGUUUUACAAAACUGAACAAUUCUACCAUUAAUUCACCCCAACUUUGGGGAAAUCUCAUUGAGGCCAUUAUUCUGUGGGUGUUAAAGGGGAAAUAACUUCCACUUUGUUCAAGGUACCAACUUCUAGAUUAAGGACUCCUCUAUACUUGUAGUUUUAUUUGUUACAGAUAAAGAGUGGAAAUG